RNAcentral lists this ribosomal RNA (58 nucleotides) under Penicillium citrinum. RNAcentral describes it as "partial 28S ribosomal RNA". RNAcentral also lists the same sequence under 2 other names. The record is from RNAcentral. Lineage: Eukaryota; Fungi; Ascomycota; Eurotiomycetes; Eurotiales; Aspergillaceae.
UUGACCUCGGAUCAGGUAGGAAUACCCGCUGAACUUAAGCAUAUCAUAAGCGGAGGAA